UACGUAGGUGGCAAGCGUUAUCCGGAAUUACUGGGCGUAAAGCGCACGCAGGCGGUCUUUUAAGUUUGACGUGAAAGCUCCCGGCUUAACUGGGAGAGGUCGUUGAAUACUGGAAGACUUGAGGCAAUGAGAGGGGUGUAGAAUUCCCGGUGUAGUGGUGGAAUGCGUAGAUAUCGGGGGGAAUACCAGUGGCGAAAGCGGCACCCUAGCGUUAGCCUGACGCUGAGACGCGAAAGCGUGGGGAGCAAACAGG
RNAcentral lists this ribosomal RNA (253 nucleotides) under uncultured bacterium. RNAcentral describes it as "partial 16S ribosomal RNA". It matches the Rfam family "Bacterial small subunit ribosomal RNA", at positions 524 to 776 of the family's 1533-position model. The record is from RNAcentral.